Onychostruthus taczanowskii (white-rumped snowfinch) is the source of this 71-nucleotide small nucleolar RNA. RefSeq annotates it as small nucleolar RNA SNORD34. Lineage: Eukaryota; Metazoa; Chordata; Aves; Passeriformes; Passeridae. The record is from RefSeq and is a predicted model, not a curated record. The transcript has a single exon.
CGGUGUCGAUGAUGUCAUCUGUACCUACAUUGUUUGAUGGCUGCUGAGAAAAACCAAACUCUGAGACACCG